UACGGGGGGGGCAAGCGUUGUUCGGAAUUACUGGGCGUAAAGGGCUCGUAGGUGGCCGACUAAGUCGGACGUGAAAUCCCUCAGCUUAACUGGGGAACUGCGUCCGAUACUGGAUGGCUUGAGUUUGGGAGAGGGAUGCGGAAUUCCAGGUGUAGCGGUGAAAUGCGUAGAUAUCUGGAGGAACACCGGUGGCGAAGGCGGCAUCCUGGACCAACACUGACACUGAGGAGCGAAAGCCAGGGGAGCAAACGGG
This 253-nucleotide ribosomal RNA is filed under the name uncultured bacterium. RNAcentral describes it as "partial 16S ribosomal RNA". It matches the Rfam family "Bacterial small subunit ribosomal RNA", at positions 524 to 776 of the family's 1533-position model. The record is from RNAcentral.